CACGUAGGGAGCAAGCGUUGCCCGGAUUUAUUGGGCGUAAAGAGCUCGUAGGUGGUUCGGUAAGUCAGGUGUGAAACCUCCAGGCUCAACCUGGAGACGCCACUUGAUACUGCUGUGACUGGAGUCCGGUAGGGGAGCGUGGAAUUCCUGGUGUAGCGGUGAAAUGCGCAGAUAUCAGGAGGAACACCAGCGGCGAAGGCGGCGCUCUGGGCCGGUACUGACACUGAGGAGCGAAAGCGUGGGUAGCAAACAGG
RNAcentral lists this ribosomal RNA (254 nucleotides) under uncultured bacterium. RNAcentral describes it as "partial 16S ribosomal RNA". It matches the Rfam family "Bacterial small subunit ribosomal RNA", at positions 524 to 776 of the family's 1533-position model. The record is from RNAcentral.